UUUUUUUUUUUUUUUUGAUCUUUCACUUUCUGUGCUGGGUUGUUAAUUUUUGAAGCUUCUUUUUUCUAUUUUAAUCAAUUCAUUUGUUUCGUUUUGUUUUGUUUUGUUUUGUUUUGUUUUUUACUCCUGUGAAGUCAACCAUUGGACCAUGGCCUAUACAUACUUAUUGUCUAGAAAUGAACCAGGAUGAACUUUGUCCUUUCAACCCCUUCCAUCUUGCAGAACUGAAUCAUUAUUUUACUGUUACACUUGCAAUCGCUGUUCAAUAAAGCUUCCAGUGGACCCUCUUUCACCUUUGCCAGAUUUCUAGUUUCUUGCUUGAACGUCCUUCAUCUUUUCAAAUUGUCCUUUGGCUGUAUUCAAUACUUAAGUGACUAUUACUUCGCAAUGCAUGCGCUGUAACCCCAAUUUGCCAUUCGUUGGAGUUUAUUUUCUGAGGAAAAUUGCACUUCAUUACAGAUCUAUUCAUCUGUGAGUUGGGGGGAAUAUAGUAUUAUUCCAAUCUUAAAUGGGUCAUUUUUUUUUUCUCCUUUUGCUUGAGUAGGGAAUGGGAAAAUAAGUUCAGGCUCCUUUGUAGUUGAUUUGGCAAGGAUACUUAAUCAGCACUAUUAGGGUCAUGGUAAUUCUUCAAUGCCACGACAGAAUAUAUAUUACUUAUGAAAUGUAAACAAAAGGGCCACACUUGAAAAUUUUAGUGCACUAUAAACUCACAGCAGGUAAAAAACAUAAGUGAUUCAAAGAACUCAUUGCUGUGUGGAACAACACUAUUAGCUGAAUACGCUAGUACCUCACUUCCCACAACAAAUGUGCUCUGAAAAAGAGCUUGUAUGUUAAACUUUUAUGUACUGAUUCAUAUUUUCAGUGUCAUGGAAAACAAAUAGCCAAAAAUUAAAGAAUGCAUUUAAACAGCACUGUAGAGUUUAUGAAGGGCUUUAAUGUAAGUAAUUGGAUUCUCAUUAAAAAGAAAACUGUGAAGGAGAUAAGCCUAGUGGCAAUAUGUCCACAUAUUAUGACCAGGUCAGGCUACAGAACUUGCCCAAUAUAUCACACAGCAAGAAAAGUUGCAGAGAUGUUAUUAACCUAAUAUUUUGUUCCAAAAUUCAAUGUUGCUCUCUCCAUUCCAAGCUGUAGGCAUCCAUAGUUCAAGUUUUGAUUUUAUACAUCAGGCUAGUUUUGACUUAUCUUUCAUUUACUUGGGUAUCUUUCCUAUAGAUUUAGUUAUAUUUCCUACAAAUUAUCCUUAGAUGAUCUAUAUCAAGAUCUGAAUU
This 1268-nucleotide long non-coding RNA is filed under the name Canis lupus familiaris (dog). RNAcentral describes it as "lncRNA (ENSCAFG00845012741.1)". The record is from RNAcentral. Lineage: Eukaryota; Metazoa; Chordata; Mammalia; Carnivora; Canidae.